GGGGCUGUGGCUCAGUGCUAGAGCACUUGCCUCAUGUGUGGGGCACUGGGUUCGAUUCUCAGCACCACA
RNAcentral lists this transfer RNA (69 nucleotides) under Marmota monax (woodchuck). RNAcentral describes it as "tRNA.Met". Lineage: Eukaryota; Metazoa; Chordata; Mammalia; Rodentia; Sciuridae. The record is from RNAcentral.